GAGCCCCUGGUUAUAUGAUUAGAAGAAGAGAGGAAGAUGCCUGGCAAGGUCAGUUAGAGAUCUUAGAUAAUCACUAUUUGUCAACAUUUAUAUGCAAUAUUUAAGUGAGUUUAUUUCCAUUAAACUUUAGAAUCUUUUACAUCACCUAUAGACCCUGCUUUGAUGCUAGCCCUGAAAAACUUGAUAUAACACUGCUGUGGCCUUGAACCAUUUCUUCCCUUCUGAGUUUGUCUGCCAGCAUAGCUUAAAGAUCCUAGUUACACCAUUACUCACUUGUAUCAUAACCAGUAUUGUUUGAUCAGAUUGUCAGAUAGAUACAGUGACACUGAGGCAAAAUCCUGUCAUUAUGAUGUAAGAUAAAAAGUACAUCUGUCUUUAACAAAACGUAUAAAGGAGGCACCCACUGGAUCAGCUCAAGUUAGAAAAUAGGAAAUCUUUCUUCUUAUUUUGCAAGUUAUAAACUGCAGUUAGGAAACUCCAAAGGACUCUAACCACAACAGUUCAAUGAAGUACAUGAGAUGCUGAGAAAUGAAUGUAUUAAAUGAGGUAAUUAGGACAUUAAGAAAAUAUUCUUAAUUAUUGGAAAAGUUCUUUCCAAUAAGCUGAAUGUGCUACUUUCAUUUUAGAUGCUGCUUAUUAGAAAAGGAUUAGUAAAUGAGAGUGAUGAGGUUCAGAGCUAGAGAGUGAAUUUUAAAGAAAAGCUGUAGUUGUGACUCAUUCACUUUCUAAACUUUUACACACAGUCAUUUACGAUAAUUGUUUUCUUUGCAAUGUAUCUUCUUCAGUAACCACUCUGUAGUGUCCUAAUUACUGGUAGUACUUUUAUAGUUAUUCUAAUUUAUGCAGUUAAAGGUCUGUGGCAAUGAAAACAUUUCCCCAAUUGUGCUUAUAUCCUCUGGGUACCCAACCUGUAGACUAUAGUGAAAUUAUCAAGGAAAAGAUCAGCACCCAGAACUCUUGAACUAUAUACUAGGCCUCUUCUUCCUGGGACCUAAUGUAUUUAAACGGCUUGAGAGAAUGGAAUAAGUUGUUGAAAAUGGUCCUUUCAAAAGACUUCACUGAAGGCCAAAGACGAGACUCACUGAAGCCAAGCUGAUCAACAAUAUCUAUAAGUUGACGCAAUCUAAUCAAGAGGCGAUCUUGCCCUUGGAAGGUAGAUUUAUGGGCCACUGUCCCCAAGAAGAUGAACAUCAGGCAGAUGACUAUCUUCUCCAUGUUGCCAGGACUGGAUCUCAUAAGUGCCAGUAGAGCAAGACCUUGGUCUCAGUUUUCACUUCAGUUUGACUGUGAACAGCCUGUCAGCAAAGCUACCUAUUUAUUCAUCCUUCAGGGAGAGGUAAAGCCCUCCCAUUGCAGCCUGGAAAUCUUUGUAAAAUGGAUGAAUGUGAGUAACUCUUUUUUCUUUUCCACUGGCUAGGUAUACGUGUGUAUGUGCUAAUGCGUGGGGGCAGGGAUGGAUGGAGUCAAUGAAAUGUGCCCCAUCUGCAUCUUUGACAGGAAAAAGAGAGAAAUGGGUGAAUUCCAAUUUUCAGCAUGAAUCAAGAAGUAUGCAUGGUAAACAGCUUAAGAGACUUCUGUGAAGGGCAGUAUGGGAUAUACUUCAGUAUAUACCACUGUGCAUAAGUGCAGGAGCUCCAGACUUCCUAUACAGGAGACACAGGGACGGCAGUCCGGCUGGAAGCAAGUGCACUGCUUUUACUUGACAUCUGUGUUUCUUUGAUGCCUUGGAAUGAGGUGGUGUUUGCCAAGUCCUUGUGCACAGCUGAAUAGGAAGCCCCUCCCCCCAUUCUCCCAAGGGGCAGCAGCGGGAUCUGCCCAGAGUUUGCAGGCUGAAUGUGGUCCUCAUUCUGGACAGUUGUUUCUGCUUCUAAGAAUCAGGAUCAUUUUUGGAAGAUUACCACUUUUCAUCUUUGUAUAUACUGAAGUAAUGCCUGUGUGUCAUGAAAUGAAGAAUUCAAAGAACAUGUCAGUGUAAAGAAAGAGCAAAAUAUAAAAUUACUCCCUUUCUUCCCUAAUUUUCACUCUUGGGACACUCUUGAGAGUUUGCUGUGUAUCAUUCUAGACUCUUCCUAUGUACACAGAACAGUAUAGAGGACUAUAUAUAGGUAGAGAGAGAGAGAGAGAGAGAUUGAAGGAAAUAGAAUUAUAUAUGGAGAAAGAGAUAUAUAGAAAUAGAUACAGAAAUAGAAAAAUGUGGGUUUUUCCAGUAAAAAUUUAAUUUUACCAUACAUAUUCUACAACUUUCCUUUUUCAUUCAACAAUAUAUGUCAGCGCAGCAACCCAUACAGAAUUUACGCACAGGGCGAUUUCAUUGAAAUAGCUGGAUUACUAUUCCAUUAUAUGGCUGUAAUAACUUAACCCAUUCACAGCCCUAUUGACAGAUUUAUUUCUAAUUAUUAUAUUCUACAAAAUAUGCUAACAUUCCUAAACAUCUGUAUCUUUUAGCAUAUGUGAAAUAUAUUCCUUUAGGAUACAUAUCCUGUAUUUCACUUCCUGUGUGGAAAGAUAACAUCCUUUAAAAAAUUUGAAACUGCCAAAUUGCCCUCCACCAUGCCACAUCAGUUUAUAUACCCACUCAUAAUGCCGUUUCCUUUCCUCUUCCAGCCUCAUAAACACUUUAUGUUGUAUUUUAAAGAUUUGCCAAUAUGCAAAGGCAAAAUAUAGUAUCCACUUAUGGGUUUGUCUUUCUUGAUCAAUAGUUAAGUUUGGCCUAUUUUCAUAUCUUCAUUAUCAGUGUAUUGUGUG
This is a long non-coding RNA of Manis pentadactyla (Chinese pangolin), 2745 nucleotides long. RefSeq lists it as uncharacterized. The transcript is spliced from 4 exons. Lineage: Eukaryota; Metazoa; Chordata; Mammalia; Pholidota; Manidae. The record is from RefSeq and is a predicted model, not a curated record.